GGAGGGGUCGCAUAGCUUGGCUUAGUGCGCCGGUCUAGAAAACCGGUGGCCCGCAAGGGCCCGUGGGUUCGAAUCCCACCCCCUCCGCCA
This 90-nucleotide transfer RNA is filed under the name Erysipelotrichia bacterium. RNAcentral's name for it is "tRNA-Ser". It matches the Rfam family "tRNA". Rfam says of the family: Transfer RNA (tRNA) molecules are approximately 80 nucleotides in length. Their secondary structure includes four short double-helical elements and three loops (D, anti-codon, and T loops). Lineage: Bacteria; Bacillati; Bacillota; Erysipelotrichia. The record is from RNAcentral.